This is a long non-coding RNA of Rhododendron vialii, 1140 nucleotides long. RefSeq lists it as uncharacterized. NCBI's taxonomy places the organism in Eukaryota, Viridiplantae, Streptophyta, Magnoliopsida, Ericales, Ericaceae. The record is from RefSeq and is a predicted model, not a curated record. The transcript is spliced from 3 exons.
CUUGUGUGAUUCUCGUACUCCUUAGCUUUAACAACAAUAAGAUGAAAGUUGAUAUGGCUAGCAAAAGUGCGUUUUUAACCUGUUUAGGCUUUGGCCCUGCUGCCAGUGGCCAAUAUGGGUAAUACAUGACAUAAUGGGUAUGCAUUGACAGACGCAUAUGGAGAAUCAUAAGCAACAUCCCCCGUGAUUGGAACAGCAUGGAAGCAUAACCAACCAGCAAGUGCAAGUACUGAUGAAAUGAAUCUCAUUGUACUCAUUGGACUGCAAUGAAUGGCUCACUGAGAGAGUGUUAAUUGACGCUCAAUUAUCUCCAUAUUGCAUUCUAUCUUUACAAACUAUGAGCAUAAUGAAAGUACAUGGUGGCUGCUGUUUGUUAAGUGACACAAGUCGCUUCAAUUAUAUAUAUGAAUGAUGUACACAGGUCCAGAUUUUCCCUAGCCAUUUAAACUGCACUUUUAUCCGGUUUCUAUUAUUCUUUGUAGUUGGAAGUAAUGUCAUAUUGAUUUAUCUGAUUCGAUAUCAGAGGUUUAAAAGCCUACAACCACCAAAAAGGUAUAGCUGUGAAGACUUGCAAUUAGUUUUUAAUUAUGUAUAAUUUAGAGGAGACAGACCUCACAAAGGUAAACUAAGAUAUGCAGCUCUGGUUUCAUACUCUGCAGAUGGCCCAAUUUCUCGAAGGUCUUCAUUGAUAAAUUAGCCUUCAGAGAUUGUACAUUGCUGCUGAGAAGUGUCACUAUCGUUUUUUUUUUUGGGUAAUGGUGGUGAUUAAAAUUCCUGGAGCGAUGAAGCUCAAAUGAGCACAUCGUAGUUGCUCUAGGGACCAGUUGCUCAUUCUUCAAGGACUUUUGCCGGCAACAACUGGAGGGCUCAAACCUCUACAUGGACCACCUGAGAUUUUGCAGUAUUUGCUUUCUCACCUAGGGAUUUUUCAAGUGGAAUUCAGGGGCCUAUAAUCUAGUAAUAGUUUAGCUAUUGUAAGAGUUAUUAGCAAUGUCCUCACCCUCCUUGUCCCGCUGUCCUUUUUGACAUGCAAUUCAUGGUGGUUAAGAAUGCACUGUGGGCCUGGUCAAGAAUUAAUGCAGUGGGCAAUUGUUUCUUUGUGUAACCUAAGAAGAAUGUCUUGUUAUUCAAACAUGUAGA